AGAAGAUUCAACAGAAGGGAAAAAAGGAGAUAGGAAGAAAGGAAUUCGUUAUAAGCCACCAAAAUAUUAUUCAAUCAUCAAUUAAAAAUUACAAUUUAAAGUAUGUUUAAAUAGUAAAGCAAAUCCUAACGAGAUUGGGCCCGAGCCCAUACAAGUCCAAUUUUCUAAAUAAUAGUCCAACAAAAUAAAUAAAGCUUAACUAGAAAAUAAAAUAAAUAAAUAUUCAAUGUCCUCAUCAAAAGCACUUCAAACUUUGUCUUUGCGCACCUCUAGGGAAAUUGAUGAUAUGGACUUUUGAUCUGCAUUCCUAAUAAUUGGAAUCAUCAAGCCCCGAAAUCCAUAGAGAAUAUAAUGAGAUCAAUGUUGGGCAAUUUCAAUUAUUCCAAGAAUAAAUUUACCAAUCCAAGCAAUUAACAAGAAUGAUAAACUAUGCAAAUAAAUAAUCAAAGAAAAAAAUAAAAAAACGCAACACCAAAUUUUUACGUGAAAAAACCCUCCAAUGUAGAGGGGAAAAAAAACCACGGGGCAACUCCGGCCAAAAAUCCACUAUAAUAAUAAUAUAAGUUACAAUAUUCAAGUUUGUGCCCCCAAAACUUGAAUUCUCCACAAAUUGAAAUACCACAAUAAUUAAUCUCUAAGACAAUAAUUUAUCUCACCACAAAUCACCAAAUUAAUUAACCUUGUGAGAACCCACUUUGAAUACAAAUCCAAAAAUAUAUCUUAGAGAAAUUUUCAAUAUAUAUAAUGUAGAAAAGAAAAAGUAAACACGUGUGAUAUCACACUUCAAGAAGAAAUUGAGCAACCACUUUAUUUAAUUAAUCAAUUUCCAUCUUUUUCUUCUCUCCAGAUUUUCUCGGCCUGCAGUCUUUCUCUCAGCAACAAUAUGAUUGCUUUUUCCUCAAUGGAGCCACAAACUUUGACUCUUCUUUCUCACAAUUGAAAGCCUUUUUCUCUCACAACUUGGAAGUCACAAGAUUUUCUCUCUCUC
RNAcentral lists this long non-coding RNA (988 nucleotides) under Olea europaea subsp. europaea. Lineage: Eukaryota; Viridiplantae; Streptophyta; Magnoliopsida; Lamiales; Oleaceae. The record is from RNAcentral.